Molecule: unclassified non-coding RNA, 205 nt
Filed under: soil metagenome
Description: partial contains 5.8S ribosomal RNA, internal transcribed spacer 2, and large subunit ribosomal RNA
Source: RNAcentral
AACACUGUUAACCUGCGGUACCUGCGGAGGGAUCAUUACCGAGUGUGGUCCCAUAAGGGGCGCCUCCCGUCCUUUGCAGGGCCUUUAGGGGCUUUUUGACUUUGCUUCGGCGGGCUUGCCCCGCCGGAACACCCUCAAGAAAAUCUUUAUGAACCGUUUGUCUGAGUUGCUUGCGAAUAAAAACAAAACUUUUAACAACGGAUCU